Molecule: long non-coding RNA, 3365 nt
Organism: Homo sapiens (human)
Lineage: Eukaryota; Metazoa; Chordata; Mammalia; Primates; Hominidae
Source: Ensembl
ACUAAAGAGUUUCUGCACGGCAAAGAAAACUAUCAACAGAGUGAACAGACAACCUACAUAGUAGGAGGAAAUUUUUGCAAACUAUGCAUCUGACAAAGGUCUAAUAUCCAGUAUCUAUAGGGAACAUAAAUUUACAAGUCUGAAACAAAUAACACCAUUUAAAAAGUGGACAAAGGACAUGAACAGACACUUUUCAAAAGAACACAUAUGUGCGGCCAACAAGCAUAUAAAAAAAGCUCAACAUCACUGAUCAUUAGAAAAAUGCAAUGAAAACCAUAAUGAGAUACUAGCUCACACAAGUUAGAAUGGCUAUUAUUAAAAAGUCAAAAUGUAAUAGGUUCUGGUGACAUUGCAUAGAAAAAGGAACACUGUUGGUGGGAGUAUAAAUUAGUUCAACCGCUGUGGAAGACAGUGUGGCUAUUCAAAGACCUAAAAACAGAAAUGCCAUUUGACCCAGCAAUCCCAUUACUGGGUAUAUACCCAAAGGAAUUUAAAUUAUUCUAUUAUAAAGACACAUGCACAUGUAUGUUCAUUGCAGCACUACUCACAAUAGCAAAGACAUGGAAUCAAUGUACAUGCCCACUAAUGGUACUCUGGAUAAAGAAAAUGUGGCACACAUACAUCAUGGAAUACUAUGUAGCUAUAAAAAAGAACAAGAUCAUGUCCUUUGCAGGAACAUGGAUGGAGCUAGAGACCAUUAUCUUUAGCAAACUAAGGCAGGAACAGAAAACCAAUUACUGCGUAUUGUUCCUUAUAAGUGGGAGCUAAAUGAGAACGCAUGGACACUUGGAGGAGAACAACACACACUGGGGCCUAUCGGAGGGUGGAGGGUGGGAGGAGGGAGAGGAUCAGGAAAAAACAACUAAUGAGUACUAGGCUUCAUACCUAGGUGACACAGCCAUCUGUACAACAAACCCCCAUGACACAAAUUUACCAGUAUAACAACGUGUAUCUGUUGAGCCUAAUACUGUUCACUUGUAAAGUCAAACAGUUCAGAGAAGACAGGGAAGCUAAAAUUUAGAAGUUAUGAGUGGAUUUAUCAUUUUAAUACCAUAUCAUUUUAAUGCCUUAUUUUCUCCACUAGCCUGUGAUCUACUAGGACCUUAGGCAACUUUAUGUCCAAGCCCUGUCUUCUAACAGAUGUAGUCCACCAAGUGCUGAGGUACAAGAUCCAUAUCCAAAAAGCACAUGUACGCUUAAACUUAAAAGUUAAGGAACAAGCCUUGAUUUCUUGCCUCAAGCCACAGCAUUAUGGAUUACUUAGCGAAACAAUGAAGACAUAUCAGUUGUCUUAGGCCCAAUAUUCUUUUGCUCUUACUAGCAAGAUAGAAAUAAUCCUUCUCAUUUAGUCAUUGAAUUUAGGCUGGGGUAGAAGAGGCAUUUAAAUUAUUGUUAAUAAAGAAGAUUAAUUGAUUAUCAUAACUUUGAGUCUGAACCAGAAGUUCUUUACAAUUGGACACAGUGGGUUGUAGUGUAAGAACUAACAUUUUAUUGAAGGAAAACCUCGUUGCUGAGACACUUUUUUUUCCCAAAGCAUCAUAUCCUGAUAGGUUGUGUACCCGAGCAGUGGCUGAUUUGAACAUUCUAGAAGAGAAGCCAGAUAUUAACCACUUACCAAGAUGUGGCAAUCAUUCAUUCUGUUCUUGAAAAAAGCUAGGAUAAUUUUUGGUAAAGAAGCCAUGAGAAGUAAUGAAUUGUUUUCCAAGCUGAGCUUUAAGACUGCCAGUUAAAUGAUGUAUCACCUUUGUUGCCAAUAUCCAAUAUCCAUCAAUAUCCAAUAUCCAAUAAAUAUAUUGCUCAGUGAUUUUCAAAGAAGUAACUUACUUCAAGGGUUGACUGGAAAAACCCAUUUCCUCUUAAAAUGUCUGUGGAAGUGAGGUACGCACAAAGAUCCAGAGUGGACUUAUGCGUGGGCGUCUGAUUACUAAACACGAAGUGACUCACCUGCGGCUUCACAAGCACACGCACGGAAAGGCGUCGUGGGAGAGGUCAGAGGCUUUCCCCACCCUGCUUGUGAGUGACCUUUGUACAUGGUGGGGCAGAGACAAAGAUUCAUAACUUACUGACAGGUGUUGGUUAAACUCGGCUUUUAUUAGUAUUUUUAUAGGUUUCAUGAUUAGGACUUAAGCAAGAUUGUGCCUGAGUGAAAAAUAAAUGAAUAGAGGAGCUGCUUCUUCACCGUCUCACAUUUCCCAGGCUUGGGCACACCGGCUUCUCAUGCAGAGGAGGCUUUGAGAGGCACGAACAGGGGAAGAUUUCUUCACUGGUUUCCACUCAUUCCAACCCCUCGUCUCUGCUUGGCUGGGAUGGUCUUAAUACUGGCUACUUCGUAACGUUCUCAUGAACCAAAAAACAUCACUAAUAGACUCCGUCCUUCUUUCUGAAAUGAGGGAUAUGCUUCCUGCCUUCAGCAUUCCUCGACUUCAGUCUAUUUUGAAACCAGGGCUGGUGAAUUGGUUAAAUUCCAUCAAUGGAAAGGACAUCCUAACAGAACUUCUUAAACUGAAGUGUGCAUUUGAACCCCAUGGCACUUUGUUAAAUAUGCAGAUUCUGGCACCCUCUGGGAACCACUGUGAGCAGCAAGGUCCUAGAGGAUCUGUUGGGAGUGUCUCUGCAGCUGGCAGCCUGCAACAGCGCUGGCGUUUUUUGGAGAGGGGACAGAUUAGCCCUGAAGCCUCAGGUAUCUGACAUGCCAGUUACUGCCUCCUGUUUUAGGUAAUCAGCCCUGCUGUCUCCUGGAGCAACUCUCAGUGAUUGUGUCAGAUGUGCUGUCACUGCGGGCUCUAUGUUUUUCCCUUUCCUUGUCAAGUGUAUCUCUUCCUGCAGCUCAGAGAGCGAGAUGGUAUUAGCCCUACAUACAAGGACCAGCUCACAUUAAGGCACUGCCUUCAGUCUGAUAGAGAGCCAGACUUGGCAGCACUGCAGAAGCUUCUCCUUUCUGCUGGUGGAAUGGGUCUGGAGAGUUUCCACUGCCCAAGCCAGCACAGCAUGACCAGAGUUCUGGGUGUUCGGUGGACGUCAGUCCACAGCCAAAGUCCAGGCAGCUACUUCAGUUCUCUGCUGAGAUUGGAGCCCAGCUCUGAGAGUUAGAUGAGUUCUCACCUUUCUUCUGAGCUCUGACUCUGCUUCUGACACUCUUGGUCCAACCUGGAUAGAGUGUGGAGGUGAAAUGUUGACAGUGUCUAGUGUUGACCUCAGACUCUGAGCUCCAGCCCUACCUUCUCAGGUGGCUGCCCUUGAGGACUGAUGCGAAUCCCGGGUGGACUAGCACUAGUCUGCUGCUGCCGCUUGGUGAGUCAAAUGUACCUUGUCUUGCUGUUCCAGUCUGGAAGCUCCUGGCAUGUUAAAUUAUUAUUAGCAGUAGC